UUUGAUUUGAUUGGGGCUGAAACAUACAGAGAGAAUGUCUUCGAAUUCGGCAUCCUCCUCCGAUCUUCUCACCCAGGUGAGAAGCCAUGAAGUUGCUAUUGCAGAGCUCAAUAAUAUUUCUUCUUCUCGGGCUGUCUACCAGAGAAAAGGGAACAUAUUUUUUCAAACAACCAUUCAGAAAGCGACCGUAUUUGAACAGAAGCAAUUGGAUACCGCAAAAGCUAGGCUGCAAAAGCUGAGUUCAUCAUGAUGUCAUCGAAUCCGUUCCCCGAUUGCCUCAAUUUUCCGGUUGUAAUGUUCGGAUGAAGAGGGAGGUGUCGUUGUAUGCUAUGAACAUGCUUAAAACAAAUUAACUGGUUAUGUUUUUUUUGUUUUAAGACCUGCAUUUGUUAUUCAAGGGUUAAUAUUGUCAUUGUUAUAAUUUGAUUGUGAA
Erythranthe guttata (spotted monkey flower) is the source of this 433-nucleotide non-coding RNA. The record is from RefSeq and is a predicted model, not a curated record. Lineage: Eukaryota; Viridiplantae; Streptophyta; Magnoliopsida; Lamiales; Phrymaceae.